Molecule: unclassified non-coding RNA, 565 nt
Filed under: Hevea brasiliensis (rubber tree)
Lineage: Eukaryota; Viridiplantae; Streptophyta; Magnoliopsida; Malpighiales; Euphorbiaceae
Source: RNAcentral
CCUCGCCUGGCGCCUCGAGCGCCUUUAACAACACUGUAGGCAACACAACCCACUUUAGCCUGAAAUGUGCCGUAAAACCUGGCUGCCAACUUGAAAUUCUUUCUUUGCAGCUUGAGGUAAACCAGGUCCCCCACUUGAAAAGUCCUCUCAGAUCUCUUCCAAUUAGCAUGCUACUUCAUCCCAUUUUGAGCCAUCAACAAAUUCUCCCUAAUUAACUGAGACAUGUACUGCCUAUCCUGCACAAAGUCAGCAAUAGCACCUACAGUAGUAUUAUCCAAAGGUAGGAAUGUGUUGCAAAUGCUCAUCCCAUGAAGAACUAUAAAUCAAAAUAUAAUCAAAGAAUACCAGAACAAACUUCCUUAGAAAGGGCUAAAAAAUGUGGUUCAUAGGAGCUUGAAAUGCAGCUGGAGCAUUUGUUAUCCCAAAGGGCAUGACAGUAAACUCAUAGUGCCCAUGAUGUGUUCUAAGGGCUGUCUUAUGGACAUAUGAGGAAUCAUUCUGAUUUGGUGGUAUCCAGCUUUCAAACUAAUCUUAGAAAAGUUUGAAGCACCAUGAAGCUCAUCUA